RNAcentral lists this ribosomal RNA (1372 nucleotides) under uncultured bacterium. Its description in RNAcentral is "bacterial SSU rRNA". It matches the Rfam family "Bacterial small subunit ribosomal RNA", at positions 28 to 1381 of the family's 1533-position model. The record is from RNAcentral.
GAUAAACGCUGGCGGCGUGCCUAAUACAUGCAAGUCGAGCGAACGGACGAGAAGCUUGCUUCUCUGAUGUUAGCGGCGGACGGGUGAGUAACACGUGGAUAACCUACCUAUAAGACUGGGAUAACUUCGGGAAACCGGAGCUAAUACCGGAUAAUAUUUUGAACCGCAUGGUUCAAAAGUGAAAGACGGUCUUGCUGUCACUUAUAGAUGGAUCCGCGCUGCAUUAGCUAGUUGGUAAGGUAACGGCUUACCAAGGCAACGAUGCAUAGCCGACCUGAGAGGGUGAUCGGCCACACUGGAACUGAGACACGGUCCAGACUCCUACGGGAGGCAGCAGUAGGGAAUCUUCCGCAAUGGGCGAAAGCCUGACGGAGCAACGCCGCGUGAGUGAUGAAGGUCUUCGGAUCGUAAAACUCUGUUAUUAGGGAAGAACAUAUGUGUAAGUAACUGUGCACAUCUUGACGGUACCUAAUCAGAAAGCCACGGCUAACUACGUGCCAGCAGCCGCGGUAAUACGUAGGUGGCAAGCGUUAUCCGGAAUUAUUGGGCGUAAAGCGCGCGUAGGCGGUUUUUUAAGUCUGAUGUGAAAGCCCACGGCUCAACCGUGGAGGGUCAUUGGAAACUGGAAAACUUGAGUGCAGAAGAGGAAAGUGGAAUUCCAUGUGUAGCGGUGAAAUGCGCAGAGAUAUGGAGGAACACCAGUGGCGAAGGCGACUUUCUGGUCUGUAACUGACGCUGAUGUGCGAAAGCGUGGGGAUCAAACAGGAUUAGAUACCCUGGUAGUCCACGCCGUAAACGAUGAGUGCUAAGUGUUAGGGGGUUUCCGCCCCUUAGUGCUGCAGCUAACGCAUUAAGCACUCCGCCUGGGGAGUACGACCGCAAGGUUGAAACUCAAAGGAAUUGACGGGGACCCGCACAAGCGGUGGAGCAUGUGGUUUAAUUCGAAGCAACGCGAAGAACCUUACCAAAUCUUGACAUCCUUUGACAACUCUAGAGAUAGAGCCUUCCCCUUCGGGGGACAAAGUGACAGGUGGUGCAUGGUUGUCGUCAGCUCGUGUCGUGAGAUGUUGGGUUAAGUCCCGCAACGAGCGCAACCCUUAAGCUUAGCUGCCAUCAUUAAGUUGGGCACUCUAAGUUGACUGCCGGUGACAAACCGGAGGAAGGUGGGGAUGACGUCAAAUCAUCAUGCCCCUUAUGAUUUGGGCUACACACGUGCUACAAUGGACAAUACAAAGGGCAGCGAAACCGCGAGGUCAAGCAAAUCCCAUAAAGUUGUUCUCAGUUCGGAUUGUAGUCUGCAACUCGACUACAUGAAGCUGGAAUCGCUAGUAAUCGUAGAUCAGCAUGCUACGGUGAAUACGUUCCCGGGUCU